CUCGUAGGCGGCUUAGCAAGUCGGGUGUAAAACCUCCAGGCUCAACCUGGAGAGGCCACCCGAUACUGCUAUGGCUAGAGUCCGGUAGGGGACCACGGAAUUCCUGGUGUAGCGGUGAAAUGCGCAGAUAUCAGGAGGAACACCGGUGGCGAAGGCGGUGGUCUGGGCCGGUACUGACGCUGAGGAGCGAAAGCGUGGGGAGCGAACA
Molecule: ribosomal RNA, 208 nt
Filed under: uncultured bacterium
Lineage: Bacteria
Description: partial 16S ribosomal RNA
Rfam family: Bacterial small subunit ribosomal RNA
Source: RNAcentral